UACGGAAGGUCCGGGCGUUAUCCGGAUUUAUUGGGUUUAAAGGGAGCGUAGGCCGGAGAUUAAGCGUGUUGUGAAAUGUAGACGCUCAACGUCUGCACUGCAGCGCGAACUGGUUUCCUUGAGUACGCACAAAGUGGGCGGAAUUCGUGGUGUAGCGGUGAAAUGCUUAGAUAUCACGAAGAACUCCGAUUGCGAAGGCAGCUCACUGGAGCGCAACUGACGCUGAAGCUCGAAAGUGCGGGUAUCGAACAGGAGUAGAUACCCUUGUAGUCCGGGACU
RNAcentral lists this ribosomal RNA (279 nucleotides) under Segatella copri DSM 18205. Its description in RNAcentral is "Prevotella copri DSM 18205 partial 16S ribosomal RNA". It matches the Rfam family "Bacterial small subunit ribosomal RNA", at positions 524 to 801 of the family's 1533-position model. The record is from RNAcentral. Lineage: Bacteria; Pseudomonadati; Bacteroidota; Bacteroidia; Bacteroidales; Prevotellaceae.